GGGGUUGUGGCUCAUUGGGAGAGUGCUUGCCUGACAUGCAUGAGGGCCUAGGUUGGAUCCCUAGCACCA
RNAcentral lists this transfer RNA (69 nucleotides) under Ictidomys tridecemlineatus (thirteen-lined ground squirrel). Its description in RNAcentral is "Spermophilus tridecemlineatus (thirteen-lined ground squirrel) tRNA". It matches the Rfam family "tRNA". Rfam says of the family: Transfer RNA (tRNA) molecules are approximately 80 nucleotides in length. Their secondary structure includes four short double-helical elements and three loops (D, anti-codon, and T loops). Lineage: Eukaryota; Metazoa; Chordata; Mammalia; Rodentia; Sciuridae. The record is from Rfam by way of RNAcentral.